UUCCAGAUAUCAUAUUACACAACACAAAAAUGCGAACCGUAUUAAUAAUACAUAACUUCCAAAACGAAAUUCGUUAAUACAGCUGUCCUUGGCCUUGGGCACGUAACAUCAGUUGGUGGCACGGCGAAAGGUCAAAUGGCUCCCCGGUGACUUUACUCCUGUUGCUACCACCAUGUUUGUGGCGGAGGAAGGUGGAGAAGAAGUAGACAAAAGCUGUAUAUCCGAAGUUUGGAACCGUCCCGAGUCGCCGGGAAGUCUCACGUAGGAAGCAGAAGGCGAUUCAUUUAGCCAUGCCCCCUUCUCUCCUUGUUCUCCAUUUUUGUACUGCAUUAUAGCUUUGUACACAUAUGGAAUCAGACCCUCCAUACCAUAUAUUUUGUAUGUUCAACUCUGCGUGUGAGAAGAAUGAUUUUGGGGUGGCGUGGGGAGGAGUAGGGUUAAAAAGGCAAAUGAGAGGUUGACGUGGUAGGACUAAUGUGUUGGGUUGGAGUCUAGCUGGUUCCAUUGCAAAACAAAACGCCUCGCACGAACCAUUGAAGAAGAUUUUGAAAGCUACAAUCUCGUUACAACUCACCAAAUCUUAUUAGAAUAAUGAUUCUACAUCUUGUGCAUUACUAUACUUGUUCAUUGGUCGGUUGACACUAAUAAAUAAUUUAGUAUAUUG
This 664-nucleotide long non-coding RNA is filed under the name Olea europaea subsp. europaea. The record is from RNAcentral. Lineage: Eukaryota; Viridiplantae; Streptophyta; Magnoliopsida; Lamiales; Oleaceae.